CCUACGGGAGGCAGCAGUGAGGAAUAUUGGUCAAUGGGCGUAAGCCUGAACCAGCCAAGUCGCGUGAGGGAUGAAGGUUCUAUGGAUCGUAAACCUCUUUUCUAAGGGAAUAAAGUGUGGGACGUGUCCUGUUUUGUAUGUACCUUAUGAAUAAGGAUCGGCUAACUCCGUGCCAGCAGCCGCGGUAAUACGGAGGAUCCGAGCGUUAUCCGGAUUUAUUGGGUUUAAAGGGUGUGUAGGCUGCGUUUUAAGUCAGCGGUGAAAGUCUGUGGCUCAACCAUAGAAUUGCCGUUGAAACUGGGAGGCUUGAGUAUGUGUGAGGCAGGCGGAAUGCGUGGUGUAGCGGUGAAAUGCUUAGAUAUCACGCAGAACCCCGAUUGCGAAGGCAGCCUGCCAAGCCAUGACUGACGCUGAUGCACGAAAGCGUGGGGAUCAAACAGGAUUAGAUACCCGAGUAGUC
Molecule: ribosomal RNA, 460 nt
Filed under: uncultured bacterium
Lineage: Bacteria
Description: partial 16S ribosomal RNA
Rfam family: Bacterial small subunit ribosomal RNA
Source: RNAcentral